CAGAUCUCCAAGUCCCAGUGGGAGCCAAAUCAUCUUUGAAGUAUCCUCUCACACGGACACGUCUGCGAGGCUCCACUCAGCGCCUGCGGACGGCUCCGGCACUGCUGCGGGGGUGGGGCGCAGAUCUAAGCGCCUCCAGUGAGCGGGGCCCGACCCGCACCUCGCCGGCACCCGCAGCGCCGCCGAGAGGAGCCCCCGGGCCCGCCGCGCCCAGCGGAGGGUCGGGACGCGGGGACACGACGGGGCGGGAGCGCGCACUUUCUGCAGGCGGCCCCCGCUCGGCACAGCCCCGCAGUUCCUCGGCCCGCGAGUUUCUACCGAGCAGCCCCAGGGCACGGAGCGGAGGGGGCCG
RNAcentral lists this long non-coding RNA (352 nucleotides) under Gallus gallus (chicken). Lineage: Eukaryota; Metazoa; Chordata; Aves; Galliformes; Phasianidae. The record is from RNAcentral.